UUAUAUUUGAUGCAAAGUAUGGAAAAUGAUCAAAGGAUCAACUUACCAUAGAUUUGUAACAAUGAGAGUUAUUCAACCUCAAGUCCAACUAUCAAUAGAUUGACAAAAGGAAGACUAUAACUAAACCCAAGGUUGAAAGAUAUGAUUGGUUAAGUUGUUUGGUUAAAAAGGUAUAUGGACAAGGCACAAUAUUAACAAGUAAAUAAAUGGUUAGUGUAUGAUAUAAACAAGUUAGUAAGGUGUUAGUGGGAUAGUAUAAAUCAAAAGGAAACAUGAUGUAUCAAAUGAAUCCAAAAGUUAACAAGUGCACUAGACUUCAUCCACAAAUCAAAUGACCAAGUUAUUUGAAAUAGGGGAAACAUAUCCAUGCCUCAAAGUACCAUGGAUGAAUACUUGAUCAUCCAAUGGUAGGUUUGAAGUAUGGAAGGUUUUAAUCAACCUUAAACCAAAUAUGUCAUGACUUAAGUAGAUUUCAUUAGUCCAUAAGUUUAAGACUUCACAAUAUCACCAAAAAUAAUUCAAAUGUCUUGAAAUAAAAUAAAAUCAAAUACUAGAGACAAAAAUAACAUGAGUCUAUGUUCACCAUAUUUGCAAAGUAAUAAAAAUGAAAGGGUUUAAAAAUAAAAUCAAAAUGGAAAUAAAUGAG
Molecule: long non-coding RNA, 646 nt
Filed under: Lathyrus oleraceus (garden pea)
Lineage: Eukaryota; Viridiplantae; Streptophyta; Magnoliopsida; Fabales; Fabaceae
Description: Pisum sativum (pea) long non-coding RNA (PSAT_LNC026623)
Source: RNAcentral